CCUACGGGAGGCAGCAGUGGGGAAUAUUGCACAAUGGGGGAAACCCUGAUGCAGCGACGCCGCGUGAGUGAAGAAGUAUUUCGGUAUGUAAAGCACUAUCAGCAGGGAAGAAAAUGACGGUACCUGUUUAAGUAGCACCGGCUAACUACGUGCCAGCAGCCGCGGUAAUACGUAGGGGGCAAGCGUUAUCCGGAUUUACUGGGUGUAAAGGGAGCGUAGACGGCAGCACAAGUCUGGAGUGAAAUGCCGGGGCUUAACCCCGGAACUGCUUUGGAUACUGGGCAGCUAGAGUGCAGGAGAGGUAAGUGGAAUUCCUAGUGUAGCGGUGAAAUGCGUAGAGAUUAGGAGGAACACCAGUGGCGAAGGCGGCUUACUGGACUGUAACUGACGUUGAGGCUCGAAAGCGUGGGGAGCAAACAGGAUUAGAUACCCUGGUAGUC
This 440-nucleotide ribosomal RNA is filed under the name uncultured bacterium. RNAcentral's name for it is "partial 16S ribosomal RNA". It matches the Rfam family "Bacterial small subunit ribosomal RNA", at positions 338 to 795 of the family's 1533-position model. The record is from RNAcentral.